GACGAACGCUGGCGGCGUGCCUAAUACAUGCAAGUCGAGCGGACGUUUUAUUGGUGCUUGCACCGAUAAAACGUUAGCGGCGGACGGGUGAGUAACACGUGGGCAACCUACCCUAUAGUUUGGGAUAACUCCGGGAAACCGGGGCUAAUACCGAAUAAUACUUUUUGGCUCCUGUCAGAAAGUUGAAAGAUGGUUUACGCUAUCGCUAUAGGAUGGGCCCGCGGCGCAUUAGCUAGUUGGUGAGGUAACGGCUCACCAAGGCAACGAUGCGUAGCCGACCUGAGAGGGUGAUCGGCCACACUGGGACUGAGACACGGCCCAGACUCCUACGGGAGGCAGCAGUAGGGAAUCUUCCACAAUGGGCGAAAGCCUGAUGGAGCAACGCCGCGUGAGUGAAGAAGGAUUUCGGUUCGUAAAACUCUGUUGUUAGAGAAGAACAGGAGAAGUAGUAACUGGCUUCUUUUUGACGGUAUCUAACCAGAAAGCCACGGCUAACUACGUGCCAGCCGCCGCCGUAAAAC
Molecule: ribosomal RNA, 521 nt
Filed under: uncultured bacterium
Lineage: Bacteria
Description: bacterial SSU rRNA
Rfam family: Bacterial small subunit ribosomal RNA
Source: RNAcentral